Molecule: ribosomal RNA, 1017 nt
Filed under: uncultured bacterium
Lineage: Bacteria
Description: bacterial SSU rRNA
Rfam family: Bacterial small subunit ribosomal RNA
Source: RNAcentral
AGGAAUAUUGGUCAAUGGACGGAAGUCUGAACCAGCCAUGCCGCGUGCAGGAUGAAUGUGCUAUGCAUUGUAAACUGCUUUUGUACGAGGGUAAACACAGAUACGCGUAUCUGCUUGAAAGUAUCGUACGAAUAAGGAUCGGCUAACUCCGUGCCAGCAGCCGCGGUAAUACGGAGGAUCCGAGCGUUAUCCGGAUUUAUUGGGUUUAAAGGGUGCGUAGGCUGUUUUUUAAGUUAGAGGUGAAAGCUCGACGCUCAACGUCGAAAUUGCCUCUGAUACUGAGAGACUAGAGUGUAGUUGCGGAAGGCGGAAUGUGUGGUGUAGCGGUGAAAUGCUUAGAUAUCACACAGAACACCGAUUGCGAAGGCAGCUUUCCAAGCUAUUACUGACGCUGAGGCACGAAAGCAUGGGGAGCGAACAGGAUUAGAUACCCUGGUAGUCCACGCAGUAAACGAUGAUAACUCGUUGCCGGCGAUACACAGUCGGUGACUUAGCGAAAGCGUUAAGUUAUCCACCUGGGGAGUACGUUCGCAAGAAUGAAACUCAAAGGAAUUGACGGGGGCCCGCACAAGCGGAGGAACAUGUGGUUUAAUUCGAUGAUACGCGAGGAACCUUACCCGGGCUUGAAAGUUAGCGACGGACCGAGAAAUCGGUCUUCCCUUCGGGGCGCGAAACUAGGUGCUGCAUGGUUGUCGUCAGCUCGUGCCGUGAGGUGUCGGGUUAAGUCCCAUAACGAGCGCAACCCCUACCGUUAGUUGCCAUCAGGUCAAGCUGGGCACUCUAGCGGGACUGCCGGUGUAAGCCGAGAGGAAGGUGGGGAUGACGUCAAAUCAGCACGGCCCUUACGUCCGGGGCGACACACGUGUUACAAUGGCCGGUACAGAGGGUAGCUACCUGGUGACAGGAUGCCAAUCUCGAAAGCCGGUCUCAGUUCGGAUUGGAGGCUGAAACUCGCCUCCAUGAAGUUGGAUUCGCUAGUAAUCGCGCAUCAGCCAUGGCGCGGUGAAUACGUUCCCG